RNA transcript from Rhodamnia argentea, 1838 nucleotides. It is a transcript of the gene named mitochondrial substrate carrier family protein ucpB, with no coding region annotated. The transcript has 9 exons. NCBI's taxonomy places the organism in Eukaryota, Viridiplantae, Streptophyta, Magnoliopsida, Myrtales, Myrtaceae. The record is from RefSeq and is a predicted model, not a curated record.
AUUACAUGUGCAUUAGUUUAGAGUUUUUUACGGUAAAAAGUUAAUUUUCAAUAAAUUCAUUAUGGAUAUGUCAGUUUGAAGUUUUCGUGGAAUUAAUCAUUAUUAUAAAGUGUUUGGCGAUCAUCUCAAGCGGUUACGGUACGUUGGUUCAGGGCGACAUUUGGCAAGCCAACCCCCGUUAUUUCCAACGGACUAACAUGGAAGUGGACUUUACCCGUCCGUAACAGGCCACUUUCUACGAAUCGGCCGAACUUCUUCAACAAAAGGCAGCGCAAGUGUCUUGAGAAUGCCGAAUUGCAUUUUGCGAGCCGGUGCCGUAAAUACGGAAUCCCAUGUAUAAAUACGGCCGCGAUUCAAUUGGGGGAGGUCGUGAGUCUGCGCGCUCCCUGACCCCGAGCGCGCAAAAUUCGCUGGGAGCGCGAAAAUGGUCGGCACUUCGCCUUCUGGUUCGUCUUCGCUUUCAGGUUCUUCGAGGCAAGACAAGAGUCAGAAAUGGCGGGUGUCGCUGUCGGAUGUCGCAUAUCACUUUGGCACCAGUGGGCUCUCUGUUGCGGUUGCCACUGCGGUGACCCACCCCUUAGAUGUGCUCAAAGUGAGGCUACAAAUGCAACUUGUUGGCCAGAGAGGUCAGUUGACUGGAAUGGGCCAAGUAUUCAUUCAAGUGGUGAAGAAUGAAGGGCCACAUUCGUUGUAUCUUGGAAUGACGCCUGCACUAACACGAUCCCUUCUUUAUGGGGGCCUCCGCUUGGGCUUAUAUGAACCCUCUAAGUAUGUCUGUGAUCAGGCAUUUGGGUCCUCCAAUAUAUUUGUUAAAAUAGCAUCUGGAGCAUUUUCAGGGGCUAUUGCGACAGCAAUGACCAACCCAGUUGAAGUCAUAAAGGUGCGGUUACAAAUGAAUUCAGGUUUGACAAAACUUGGGCCAGUUGGAGAAAUGCGCAAGAUCGUGUCCGAAGAGGGAGUAAAAGCUCUCUGGAAAGGGGUUGGCCCUGCUAUGACUAGAGCUGCUACUUUGACUGCAUCACAGCUGGCAACAUAUGACGAAUCCAAGCAGAUUUUGAGGAGAUUGACACCUCUUGAGGAAGGAUUUAAUCUACAUCUGAGCUCAAGCAUAGUUGCAGGCAUGGUGAGUACUCUCAUGACAGCGCCAGUGGACAUGGUUAAGACCCGUCUGAUGUUGCAACGAGAAUCUGAGACUGUGGGGAGAUACAAAAACGGAUUUCAUUGUGCAUAUCAGGUAGCUUAUUUGUCCCUUUCCUUGUCCAAAGCCACCGUUACCAAGGCGUAAAGAACACGAUAUUCCAACGGAGAGGAUAGGGGGCAGUUUGCUUGAAGAAAAAUUUUCAGAAUUUUCGUUCCAUUUCCUUUUGAGAAUGAAAAUGCUGAUGAAAAUACGUUUGGUCUAAUUUAUGACACAGUUUCCACUGAAACAUAUGAAAUGCUGUUUCUCUUUUACUACCGAAAGAGUGAGAGGAAAUAUCAACAGAAUUUUGUACUUUUUAUUUUUUUCCUUUCCAAUCGAAAACACAGCUUAUGAAGAGAGAGAAAGCAUUUUGAAGUCGCUCUCUCUGGUUGACUCUCUCUCCCUUCUUCGUUCUUUAUACACUGAGGAAGAAUUUCUCUGAAGAAGUUGUGACACGUUGACGAAGUACUUUAUCUGAAGAAGAAGUAAUGGUCAUUCGUACAGAAGGCUUUAGGGCUUUAUACAAAGGGGGAUUUGCAAUCUUUGCGAGAUUAGGUCCUCAAACCACAAUUACCUUUGUACUUUGUGAGAAGCUGAGGGAGGUCACUGGACUAAAGGCACUUUAGUCAUGCAAUAGAUGCCACCCCUUGACUUUUUA